Molecule: long non-coding RNA, 2417 nt
Filed under: Homo sapiens (human)
Lineage: Eukaryota; Metazoa; Chordata; Mammalia; Primates; Hominidae
Description: HSALNT0080368
Source: RNAcentral
AUUCUCUUCUUGGAGCUUUUGGAGUACACUUCCACUAAAGUUAUAGCAUGCUUGAAUGGUUUAUUUCACCAAUAUUUGCUUAUGGAAAUAAAGGGGAGUGGCCGAGGAGAAAGGAGAAGAGGAGUGGAGGAGGGGUUUGAGGCUGAGGGAGGCUCUGACCACAGCACAGAGCACCGGCAACUUUGUCUAAUGUGAUCAUUAACCUUCCUGCAAAACACAGCUGGCAGUUCUCUGAGGUUUGUCACUAGAAUGUGAAGACAGCCACACAGAUAUUGCACAGACUAUUUACAGAUCGUUUGGUUUACAUUGAGAGUCAUUGCUCUACUUUUGUGCGGUAGGAAAAUGAGAUUUCAGCAAUUCCUUUUUGCAUUUUUUAUUUUUAUUAUGAGUCUUCUCCUUAUCAGCGGACAGAGACCAGUUAAUUUGACCAUGAGAAGAAAACUGCGCAAACACAAUUGCCUUCAGAGGAGAUGUAUGCCUCUCCAUUCACGAGUACCCUUUCCCUGAGAUCUCUCUAGCUAACUUUACUGGAUCUAUCAGAAGAAGAAGAGGAGUGAAGGAAAGACACCCAGCCACACAAAAGAACUUCAUGAUGCCAACAGCGUGAUUGCUUAGAAGUUCCUACACAAAAAAAGGAUCAUUUGAAAGCACCUGGAAUGAGUCUCACUCUGUUGCCCAAGGUGGAGAGAAGUGGCACGCUUUUGUCUCACUGCAACCUCCACCUCCCGAGUUCAAGUGAUUCUCGUGCCUCAACCUCCCAAUUAUAGGCUGGGAUUACAGGUGUGCACCACUACACCCAGCUAAUUCUUGUAUUUUUUGUAGAGAUGAGGUUUUACCCUGUUGCCCAGGCUGGUCUUGAACUCAGGCUGGAACCAUUCAUUUUUUAACCUUUCUCAUCAUGUAAUUAUAGGAACCCAACGUUUGAUUUCCUUUGAAGUUUUGUUAUGUCCUUUAUUAUUUUGUAUGGAUAAUUUCUUUAAAAGUCUUACUUAAAGUUGACAUCUAAAAUACAGUUAUGCCAAUGAAGUCCCACUCAGGGUGAUAUCUGUAUCUAAAAGAUGAGUGCUCAUCAUCCUAUUAGGCUUUGUCUUGGUGGUGUUCAUCCUGAGAUGCUGAGACAUGGAAAUAAAAAAUCAGAAGGAAUUUAGGGAUAUGAUUACUCAAAAAAGAAACUAUCCUGUCUAAAUUUGAAUUGUGUUGAUAACUAGGUGUUCCCCAGAUGCUAAGAUGUUCUUAAUUUGUAUUUAUUGAAGGAUUGUUAGCUUAGUGCCACAAAAUUUUUCUUACUUUAUGUUAAUUCCAGAUAAGAAAUUUACAAGUUUAUAUCUUUUUUUUUCUUUUUUUUAAGAUGAGAUCUGGCUCUAUCACCCAGGCUAAAGUGCAGUGGCAUGAUCUAGGCUAACUCCCUGGCUCAAGCGAUCCUUCCACCUCAGCCUCCCAAGUACCUGGGACUACAGGCACUCACGGCCACACCUGACUAAUUUUUGUAUUUUUUUGUAGAGAUGGAGUAUCGCCAUGUUGCCCAGCUUCCUUUGAGGAAUGAAAAUCAUUGUUUGCUGUACAUUUGAUCAGAAGAAAAAAGAAAAACUGAAAUUAGUGAAGUCAGUGAAGUCUUCGGUCCCGUCCUGAAUCAUUUUUACCCUCUGUUUAGGGACAGGUCUAGAACGAGUGAGCACAAAACUGAAGAGUGUGCCGAAAAUCUCAGCAAUCAAGAUAACAUUUGAACUCCAUUUUUGAAAAAAAUAAAAACUAACACCCACGAAAAAUACAUGAUGAAUAAAACAUCAAAAUUUUAGAUAAACACAGGAUAUCAGGAGUGAGUGUGGUGGCUCACUCACCCAAAGUGUAAUCCCAGCACUUUGGGAAUCUAAGACAGGAGGAUUGCUUGAAGCAAAGAGUUACAGACCAGCCUCUGCAACAUAGCAAGUCUUCGUCUCUAAAACAAAAUAAUUAGCCAGGCAUGGUGGCGCAUGCCUGUAGUCUAAGCUACCAGGGAGGUUGAAGUGGGAGAAUCACUUGAGCCUAGGAGUUGAAGGCUACAGUCAGUUAUGAUCACCACUGCAUUCUAGCCUGGGCAACAGGAAGACCCUGUUGAAAGGAAGAGAGAGGACCAGGUGCAGUGGCUCACACCUGUAAUCCCAGCACUUUGGGAGGCCGAGGCAGGUAGAUCACUUGAGAUCAGGCAUUCGAGACCAGUCUGGCCAACAUGGUGAAACUCCGUUUCUACUGAAAACACAAAAAUUAGCCAGGCGUGAUGGUGCGUGCCUGCAGUCCCAGCUACUCAGGAGGCUGAGGCAGGAGAAUCUCUUGAACCCAGGAGGAUGAGGUUGCAGUGAGCCAAGAUUGCACUACUGCACUCUGGCCUGGGCAACAAAGCAAGACUCUGUCAAGAAAGAGAAAGAAAGAAAGAAAGAGAG